AGUGAACGCUGGCGGUAGGCCUAACACAUGCCAGUCGAACGGCAGCACAGUAAGAGCUUGCUCUUACGGGUGGCGAGUGGCGGACGGGUGAGGAAUACAUCGGAAUCUACUUUUUCGUGGGGGAUAACGUAGGGAAACUUACGCUAAUACCGCAUACGACCUACGGGUGAAAGCAGGGGAUCUUCGGACCUUGCGCGAUUGAAUGAGCCGAUGUCGGAUUAGCUAGUUGGCGGGGUAAAGGCCCACCAAGGCGACGAUCCGUAGCUGGUCUGAGAGGAUGAUCAGCCACACUGGAACUGAGACACGGUCCAGACUCCUACGGGAGGCAGCAGUGGGGAAUAUUGGACAAUGGGCGCAAGCCUGAACCAGCCAUACCGCGUGCGUGAAGAAGGCCUUCGGGUUGUAAAGCCCUUUUGUUGGGAAAGAAAAGCAGCAGGUUAAUACCCCGCUGUUCUGACGGUACCCAAAGAAUAAGCACCGGCUAACUUCGUG
Molecule: ribosomal RNA, 492 nt
Filed under: uncultured bacterium
Lineage: Bacteria
Description: partial 16S ribosomal RNA
Rfam family: Bacterial small subunit ribosomal RNA
Source: RNAcentral